AAGGAAUAUUGGUCAAUGCCCGCAAGGGUGAACCAGCCAUUCCGCGUGGAGGAUGAAGGCCCUAUGGGUUGUAAACUUCUUUUAGAUGGGAAGAAAAUGCUUUGUUUACAAGGUACUGACGGUACCAUCAGAAUAAGCACCGGCUAACUCCGUGCCAGCAGCCGCGGUAAUACGGAGGGUGCGAGCGUUAUCCGGAAUUACUGGGUUUAAAGGGUGCGUAGGCGGAUGAUUAAGUCUAAGGUGAAAGUCUGUCGCUUAACGAUAGAAUUGCCUUGGAUACUGGUUAUCUUGAAUAGGGAUGAGGAUAGCGGAAUGUGGCAUGUAGCGGUGAAAUGCAUAGAUAUGCCAUAGAACACCAAUUGCGAAGGCAGCUAUCUGGUCUUUUAUUGACGCUGAGGCACGAAAGCGUGGGGAUCGAAC
Molecule: ribosomal RNA, 420 nt
Filed under: uncultured bacterium
Lineage: Bacteria
Description: bacterial SSU rRNA
Rfam family: Bacterial small subunit ribosomal RNA
Source: RNAcentral